AGCAGCCGCGGUAAUUCCAGCUCCAAUAGCGUAUAUUAAAGUUGUUGCAGUUAAAAAGCUCGUAGUUGAAUUUCGGGAUCAGAUUGUCGGUCGUGCCUCGGUACGUACUGGCAUUAUUGGUUCCUACCUUCUGAAGAACCGCGAUGUCAUUAAUUUGGUGUCGUGGGGAAUCAGGACUGUUACUUUGAAAAAAUUAGAGUGUUUAAAGCAGGCGCACGCUUGAAUACAUUAGCAUGGAAUAAUGAAAUAGGACGUUUGAUUCUAUUUUGUUGGUUUCUAGGAUCGACGUAAUGAUUAAUAGGGAUAGUUGGGGGCAUUAGUAUUCAAUUGUCAGAGGUGAAAUUCUUGGAUUUAUUGAAGACUAACUACUGCGAAAGCAUUUGCCAAGGAUGUUUUCAUUAAUCAAGAACGAAAGUUAGGGGAUCGAAGACGAUCAGAUACCGUCGUAGUCUUAACCAUAAACUAUGCCGACUAGGGAUCGGAUGAUGUUAAUUUUUAAUGACUCAUUCGGCGCCUUAAC
RNAcentral lists this ribosomal RNA (520 nucleotides) under uncultured Glomus. RNAcentral's name for it is "SSU rRNA". It matches the Rfam family "Eukaryotic small subunit ribosomal RNA", at positions 569 to 1092 of the family's 1831-position model. The record is from RNAcentral. Lineage: Eukaryota; Fungi; Glomeromycota; Glomeromycetes; Glomerales; Glomeraceae.